GGCCUACCAUGGUUUUAACGGGUAACGGGGAAUUAGGGUUCGAUUCCGGAGAGGGAGCCUGAGAAACGGCUACCACAUCCAAGGAAGGCAGCAGGCGCGCAAAUUACCCAAUCCCGACACGGGGAGGUAGUGACAAUAAAUAACAAUACAGGGCUCUUACGGGUCUUGUAAUUGGAAUGAGUACAAUUUAAAUCCCUUAACGAGGAACAAUUGGAGGGCAAGUCUGGUGCCAGCAGCCGCGGUAAUUCCAGCUCCAAUAGCGUAUAUUAAAGUUGUUGCAGUUAAAAAGCUCGUAGUUGAAUUUCGGGAUUCUACCGUUGGUCGGGCUAACAAGUCUGUACUGGUGUGUAGAAUUUCUACCUUCUGGGGAACUAUCAUGUUAUUAAUUUAGCGUGGUGGGAAACCAGGACCUUUACCUUGAAAAAAUUAGAGUGUUCAAAGCAGGCUUACGUCUGAAUACAUUAGCAUGGAAUAAUAGAAUAGGACGGUGGUCCUGUUUUGUUGGUUUCUGAAUCACCGUAAUGAUUAAUAGGGAUAGUUGGGGGCAUUAGUAUUCAAUUGUCAGAGGUGAAAUUCUUGGAUUUAUUGAAGACUAACUUCUGCGAAAGCAUUUGCCAAGGAUGUUUUCAUUAAUCAAGAACGAAAGUUAGGGGAUCGAAGACGAUCAGAUACCGUCGUAGUCUUAACCAUAAACUAUGCCGACUAGGGAUCGGACGAUGUUAAUUUUAUUGACUCGUUCGGCGCCUUACG
Molecule: ribosomal RNA, 750 nt
Filed under: uncultured Glomeromycotina
Lineage: Eukaryota; Fungi; Glomeromycota
Description: SSU rRNA
Rfam family: Eukaryotic small subunit ribosomal RNA
Source: RNAcentral